RNAcentral lists this long non-coding RNA (726 nucleotides) under Homo sapiens (human). RNAcentral describes it as "HSALNT0390657". Lineage: Eukaryota; Metazoa; Chordata; Mammalia; Primates; Hominidae. The record is from RNAcentral.
AGAAGAUGAAGAGGGCAGAGAGACAAUGGGACAGGACAAUCAACUGCAGAGAGGAAGAGUACUCUCUCUGCUGAGAGCUGCAGAGAUGACCUGCUGGCACAGAGGAGUUACCCACUCCUCUGAGCUGUUCUAACACUAAAUACAACUCUUCUUCAUCCUUCACUUGUCUGCAUACCUCAUUCUUUCUGGACACAAGACAAGAACUUGGGCAAAGGCACCAUGGCCACAGAGGUUUCCGGCCUGAAAAAUCAACACCCCAGAGAUCCUGUAACACUAUAUCCAUUCCUCACUCCUUUCUGCCCACUCUGUGCCUUUGGAGAGCAGCCUUCUUUGGACUAUCUUGCACUCUGAGAUAAACCAACAGAAGACCAAAGAGAGAAGAGACAGUGUAAGAUGUUUAUUCACAUUUCUCCCACCUUUCCAGGCCUGGUUUCAGCAGUGACUAUAUUCUUCUACUUUAGACAAGAACUUCUGGUGAAUGGAGGCUCUACCACAGCUACAACUUUUACACAGUUGUGGAAAAUAUUUGAUCUGAAGUUGGUUGAAUCAGAAGACGCCAAACCGGCAGAUAUGGAGGACCAACAGUGUAAAAUAGUGACUCAUGUUAUCAGAUUCAUAAUGCCUUCCUGACCAGCUGAAACUUCCUAACCAGCCCUAAUUAUUUUCAUUAAAAAUAUAUCACUUUUGAAAAAGUAACAGCUGAGAAAUACUACCGUCAUAAUACUU